Molecule: small RNA, 959 nt
Filed under: Histoplasma ohiense
Lineage: Eukaryota; Fungi; Ascomycota; Eurotiomycetes; Onygenales; Ajellomycetaceae
Description: hypothetical lncRNA
Source: RNAcentral
CCAAGCCCGGCUGCAGUUGAACAACACUUGCACUGUCUGCACACGGCCACCAACAACGCGGUGCAACGAUGACAGGGACCGAACGACGACGACGACGACGACGACGACAACGACAACGACAACGACAGCAGCACGCUUCCUCCUGUAUAUCUCUAGCAUAGAGCUAGCUAUCUUCUUUCAUUUCUUGCGUGCUCUCUGCUGUGCUCUCUGGACAACUAACCCGUCCGCUGUCGCUGGGGUGAUCGUUCUCCUGCUGCCCCUGUUGGAUACGGCUGCAUAGCGGAAUAAGAAAAGACGUGUCCUGCUUGGUGUAUAGCCUCAUCAAGACAUUAAACCUUGAAUACGAGCCCGUUAUUUGCGCACAGACGCGCACAGGACUUUUCUUUCACCCCGUAUUUCGUACUGACAACACCUGUGAGGCGAGGAUUGACGGAGUUCGUUCUGUCAGCGACAUCAACCACCCAUUUUUUAUCUUCGCCGAGUUCCCACCGAGUCUAUCCCAUCUACAUAUUGAGUAGAUGUAACAAUCACCGACAUUCGUUUCUCAAGGAGUCUUGCGCUCUUCUCCCCAUCCAACUUCGUCAGCCAGAUGACUGACGUCCGUUCGUUUCUUCAAUGAAAUUAACGAUAUUAAUAUAUCGUGAUCCUCUGGCUUCAUUCCUCCAGGUGACCGACACCCGCUCGUUUCCUUUUCGACCAAACACUCGUUCUAACACAAAAUCGUGAAAACUCGGGGAUUCAAUCUACUUGAAGUAAAUUAUUCACAUUCGUUUCUUUGACUUUAUCCUCCGGCCAGACCGACCGUUUACGCGCCGGUUCAAUCGGGCAUAUCGUCCCGUCUCACGUUCUCUUGUCGCGUAUUCAAUCAAUCGUAUGGCCAGGAGGGCUGACCUAACUUCCAAUCGCUCAAUUUACAAAGACUUAAACCAGCUCGUCACAAGGGGUCAACACCUAGAUCC